RNAcentral lists this ribosomal RNA (355 nucleotides) under uncultured bacterium. RNAcentral describes it as "bacterial SSU rRNA". It matches the Rfam family "Bacterial small subunit ribosomal RNA", at positions 1 to 334 of the family's 1533-position model. The record is from RNAcentral.
UCGCGUGUCUCAGAGUUUGAUCCUGGCUCAGGACAAACGCUGGCGGCGUGCAUAACACAUGCAAGUCGAACGAGAAUCCAGAGCGCUUCGCCUUCGGGUGAAGCGCUGUGGAGGACAGUGGCAACGGGUGAGUAACGCGUAAGAAACCUGCCUUGUACAGAGGGAUAGCAGCUGGAAACGGCUAUUAAUACCUCAUGAAGCCGAUCCAUCGCAUGAAGGAACGGCCAAAGAUUUAUCGGUAUGAGAUGGUCUUGCGUCUGAUUAGCUGGUUGGUGGGGUAACGGCCUACCAAGGCGACGAUCAGUAGCCGGCCUGAGAGGAUGAACGGCCACAUUGGGACUGAGACACGGCCCAG